ACUCCAAGACGUCCACAUGUCUGUGGUCCAGGAGGAGCAGGGAGAGGCGCGGGACGAGGGGGCCGGAGGAGGAGCGAGCUGGGCAGCGUGUUUAUAACCCACGCUCCCCAAAGCCCACAGUCUGCGCAGGCAAACAGCACGUGGCUCCUAGCUCCUCCGGGGUGGAAAAAAAAAACAUACACACUAAAAAAGAAAGAACGAGGGGAGAAAACACCUGGAUCCUUUUAUGUGGACGCUCACCACGACCUGACAGUUGGCAAAAAUACGCUCUUUCCGCCGACCGGCAGGACGGGUCAUUUCGCAGAAACUCGGCCGCUGCUGAUAAACGCACCCCUUCUCAGCGCUCCUCCCAGCCGGAUACACAAAGCACUUGAGAGCCACCAGCAUGGCGAGGCGAGCACAUAUACUCCAACAUGAAUCCUGCCUAACUGGAAUCUGAUGGGGCCCUGCUGGGCCAGCGGCAGCACACAGCACACAGCCCUGUGUAAGAGCCCUCCCCCCCCCCCAAGCUCUUGUCCCUGAACAGUAAGAGUUUACAUGCUGUGGAGGAUCAGCGGCAGCAUGGACUCUCUUACGGUGCAGGGAGCAGAGCCACUCUCCUGCUCCUGGAAGGGCCUUGGGGGUCACAGCCGACCUUGGAGACGGACACACACAACAGCCGGAGACAGCUUUGACAGUUAAUUUGGUUUAUUCGUUUGUUGAAGCAUUACAUUGCAUUAUGAGUAUGAAUAAAAACUGAAAUGAAAAAUGA
Long non-coding RNA from Sardina pilchardus (European sardine), 751 nucleotides. RefSeq lists it as uncharacterized. The record is from RefSeq and is a predicted model, not a curated record. NCBI's taxonomy places the organism in Eukaryota, Metazoa, Chordata, Actinopteri, Clupeiformes, Clupeidae. The transcript has 2 exons.